AACCAGCACCUCAAGUGGUCAGGAUGAUUAUUGGGCCUAAAGCAUCCGUAGCCUGUUCUGUAAGUUUUCGGUUAAAUCUAUGCGCUCAACGUAUAGGCUGCCGAAAAUACUGCAGAACUAGGGAGUGGGAGAGGUAGACGGUACUCGGUAGGAAGGGGUAAAAUCCUGUCAUCCUGAGAGGACCACCUGUUGCGAAGGCGUCAUACUGGAACGGAUCCGACGGUCAGGGACGAAGCCUAGGGGCACGAACCGG
This 253-nucleotide ribosomal RNA is filed under the name uncultured archaeon. RNAcentral describes it as "partial 16S ribosomal RNA". It matches the Rfam family "Archaeal small subunit ribosomal RNA", at positions 474 to 727 of the family's 1478-position model. The record is from RNAcentral.